Bacilli bacterium VT-13-104 is the source of this 177-nucleotide regulatory RNA element. It matches the Rfam family "Lysine riboswitch aptamer". From Rfam's summary of the family: Riboswitches are metabolite binding domains within certain messenger RNAs that serve as precision sensors for their corresponding targets. The record is from Rfam. Lineage: Bacteria; Bacillati; Bacillota; Bacilli.
CGGUGAGGUAGAGGUGCGGACAAGAUAAGUAGUCAACAGGAGAAUGACAACGAUGAUUGUUGAUGAAAGGAUUGUUUGCCGAAGUAUAAUAAGGGGUCAAACUUAUUAUAACUGGUAUAUCCUUGAAUAAGGGGUAUACUGUCAUGCAUAUGUGUUGCAUGGAGAACUACUGAUCGA